CGCCUAACACAUGCAAGUCGAACGCAGUAGCAAUACUGAGUGGCAAACGGGUGAGUAUAAUGUGGGAAUCUGCCUUUUGGUCUGGAAUAACACGAGGAAACUUGUGCUAAUACCGGAUAAGCCUUUACAGGGAAAGUUUUAACGCCGAAAGAUGAGCCUGCACUUGAUUAGCUAGUUGGUAAGGUAAAAGCUUACCAAGGCAAUGAUCAAUAGCUGUUCUUAGAGGAAGACCAGCCACAUUGGGACUGAGACACGGCCCAGACUCCUACGGGAGGCAGCAGUGGGGAAUCUUGCACAAUGGGGGAAACCCUGAUGCAGCGAUGCCGCGUGAGUGAAGAAGGCCCUUGGGUUGUAAAACUCUUUCGUCGGGGAAGAAAAUGACUGUACCCGAAUAAGAAGGUCCGGCUAACUUCGUGCCAGCAGCCGCGGUAAUACGAAGGGACCUAGCGUAGUUCGGAAUUACUGGGCUUAAAGAGCUCGUAGGUGGUUAAAAAAGUUGAUGGUGAAAUCCCAAGGCUCAACCUUGGAACUGCCAUCAAAACUUUUUAGCUAGAGUAUGACAGAGGUAAGUGGAAUUUCUAGUGUAGAGGUGAAAUUCGUAGAUAUUAGAAAGAACACCAAAUGCGAAGGCAACUUACUGGGUCAUUACUGACACUGAGGAGCGAAAGCAUGGGUAGCGAAGAGGAUUAGAUACCCUCGUAGUCCAUGCCGUAAACGAUGUGUGCUAGACGUUGGAAAUAUAUUUUUCAGUGUCGCAGCGAAAGCAUUAAGCACACCGCCUGGGGAGUACGACC
RNAcentral lists this ribosomal RNA (794 nucleotides) under uncultured Pelagibacteraceae bacterium. RNAcentral's name for it is "bacterial SSU rRNA". It matches the Rfam family "Bacterial small subunit ribosomal RNA", at positions 45 to 887 of the family's 1533-position model. Lineage: Bacteria; Pseudomonadati; Pseudomonadota; Alphaproteobacteria; Candidatus Pelagibacterales; Candidatus Pelagibacteraceae. The record is from RNAcentral.